This is a long non-coding RNA of Dromaius novaehollandiae (emu), 3572 nucleotides long. RefSeq lists it as uncharacterized. The transcript has 8 exons. The record is from RefSeq and is a predicted model, not a curated record. NCBI's taxonomy places the organism in Eukaryota, Metazoa, Chordata, Aves, Casuariiformes, Dromaiidae.
CCGCGCUAGCGCCCUGGCGUCACGGUGCUCGCACCUGGCCUCGUGUGACCAGACAGCGGUACCGCCACCCAGCGGUCCGGAAUGUGCGCGCGGCCGCCGCGGUGAUCCCUGUCGCUCUCCUGUGACCGCAGAGCUGUGUCGCAGAAACGGUCGCAGGUGUGCACGGUGCAGUCGCCGUUCUCGCUCCUGCCCGCGUAGGCUCACACAGCAGUGCUGCGGCGGGUCUGCUGCCCUGGCUCACUGCCCCUCCUCGCGUGGUCACGGCCAGUACCGAGCCGCAGCGCACGAGGUGCUUUGUUCCCAUAAGAAGGGUGUGGAAGUUGAAGAGACCAAGAAAUGUAAGCACCGAAGGGGCACAUCUUGAAGAGAAGCAGCUAGACCUAGCGAUCCAGUUGUUCGUUUUGGUCGUCGCCUGUGAGGCCAGCAUCCAAGCAUAAGAGGAAGCUAGGAGCAGUCUCAGAAGGGUAAUAGGUUUGAAACGGAGACAGGCAGAUCAAGGCUAUCAUUCCCCCACGUAGCUGAAGACCAAGAGAAUUGUCAGUUAAGCAUGUGUAUACAUGGGUUUGAGAACAGUAACGAUAAUACUGAAGCAGAAUGAAAAUAAGGUUUUGUGGAAGAUGGCGUAGGUAAGUAUUAGACGACGUGCCCGCCUGCCUAAUAACCUAGGCCUAAUUGCUGUGUGUAACGUUUCCAGACCGUUUACUCUGCAACGUAUGGUGCAAAGUGCCGUAUUAAGACCUUUCCCUUAAGGAAAAGAAGAAGGAAAAAAAAGAAAAAAAAGGGGGAAAAAGAAAACAGGGUAAAGAGAAAAAGAUCAUGCAUAAACCUAAGCGUUUCACUGGAAGUAAAAUGCGAGUUUAUCGCUUCCUUACAGAGAUGGAACCAAGGACAGCAAAUGCUGACGAGGAGAAGAGACGGACGAGCGUUUGCUUGCGGUUAAUACCGAAGGGACGGGAUGAAACAAGGAAGCCAGAAUGCAGCGGCCCCUCGAUAUCACCAGGAACUGCUACAGGAGGAGGCGUUCUGGCACGGGUAACUAGGACGUUGCCGAUUUAGCAAAGGAAUUCGAGGUAUCCCCGAACUGAACUGUCCUCAUUAUAAUACCAGAAAAUCACGCCCAUAGGUCAGAAAGACCUGUGCCCGGGUGAAGACCCCUCCCCUGAGCAUGCGUAGUUUUAAAAUGGUGUGUAAGCAAUAUUAGAAUUGUAUGUAAAUCACUAACCAACCGGUGUAAGAGGGAAAGUUGCAAACCUUGCAACUUGUAUAAAUGCUACUUGGAAAGCCGGGGCGGGGGGGAAGUUGCGCUUGAUUUGUGGGGAAAACACCGAGCAGCCAGGCUUGCACAACUCUGAAAUAAAUAAGCAAAUGUCUCUCCUGAGCGUGUCAUUAUUGGCUUAGUGCACAGCGGGCAACGAAUCCGCUUUUCGGACAGCAGCGUGACCAGGCGCAGGGUUGUCCCCGGGGGCUGGGGCUGUCCCUCUUGGAAAUGGGGAGGGCGGGAAGAGUAGGAGGGGUGCUGCGGGCUCCUGGGGGUCGUAGCUUUGCUCAGGAUUGGGGCCGGUUAGGCAGCUGCUGGGAGGAGUGGCGGUGCUGGGAGGGCACGGUGCGGAGCUGUCCUGCUGUGCAGCGCAAGGGAAAGUCGACCAGCACCGUUGCUGUCCGAGGACCCUGGAACAGCCCGAGAGACCCUGGAACAGCCACCCCACGGACACCGUGUCACUGCCUCGCAAGGCCACCGCAUGCAGGGUAGCCCACCGAAGGGGGACAUCUCGAAGAGAAGCAGCAAGACCUGGGGAUCCGGUGGUUCAUUUUGGUCGUCGCCUGUGAGGCCAGCAUGCAAGAGUAAGAGGAAGCUAGGAGCAGUCUCAAAAAGAUAUGGAACCGAGGACAGCAAAUGCUGACGAAGAGAAGAGACGGACGAGCGUUUGCUUGUGGUUAAUACCGAAGGGACGGGAUGAAACAAGGAAGCCAGAAUGCAGCGGCCCCUCGAUAUCACCAGGAACUGCUACAGGAGGAGGCGUUCUGGCACGGGUAACUAGGAUUAAUUGCCACGGCUGAAGUUGAAGAGACCAAGAAACGUAAGCCCCGAAGGGGCACAUCUUGAAGAGAGGGGGCUAGACCUAGCGAUCCAGUUGUUCGUUUUGGUCGUCGCCUGUGAGGCCAGCAUGCAAGAGUAAGAGGAAGCUAGGAGCAGUCUCAAAAAGAGAUGGAACCAAGGACAGCAAAUGCUGACGAGGAGAAGAGACGGACGAGCGUUUGCUUGUGGUUAAUACCGAAGGGACGGGAUGAAACAAGGAAGCCAGAAUGCAGCGGCCCCUCGAUAUCACCAGGAACUGCUACAGGAGGAGGCGUUCUGGCAUGGGUAACUAGGAUUAAUUGCCACGGCUGAAGUUGAAGAGACCAAGAAACGUAAGCCCCGAAGGGGCACAUCUUGAAGAGAGGGGGCUAGACCUAGCGAUCCAGUUGUUCGUUUUGGUCGUCGCCUGUGAGGCCAGCAUGCAAGAGUAAGAGGAAGCUAGGAGCAGUCUCAAAAAGAGAUGGAACCAAGGACAGCAAAUGCUGACGAGGAGAAGAGACGGACGAGCGUUUGCUUGCGGUUAAUACCGAAGGGACGGGAUGAAACAAGGAAGCCAGAAUGCAGCGGCCCCUCGAUAUCACCAGGAACUGCUACAGGAGGAGGCGUUCUGGCACGGGUAACUAGGGUAAGUAUCGCUAAUGACCGUUAGCAGUUAUUUCGGCCUCCCCGAGGCAGCGCUGAGGACUAAGUAACCUGAGGGGCUCUGGCCUGGGUUAGGGCAGAAGUGCAGGCAGGCGGGAUCAGGCAUUUUCCUCUCAGCUCUCCAAGCUGAAUCCUAGCCCUGAAGGAAAAAGCACUGGGGGGAGGCUACUCGGACACCUGCCACGUCGAGGGCAGGGGCAGGAGCUGACCCUUCCCCGACGGAUGGACGGACGGACGGACAGACGCUGGUGCGGCGGUGACUCUUUGGAUAUCGUAGGUAAGGGGAGGCACGCUGGUGCCGAGCUCCAGGGCGGUUUGCCUGAACACGAUGCCCGGGGCAGGAGGUUACGCAUUGUGUCCGGGGCUGGGAGCUGGUCCCCGAGUCCCAUGUACUUGGGAGUGCCUGCGCUUGCCAGGGAGCCCGGUGCUGUUCCCAGAGCUGCGGGGAAUUUCCCUUGCGUUGCCUGGACCCUCGGGGCUCUUGGGGGUGUUUCCCCUCAUCGCAAGGGCAGCCAGAGCCCCUCCAGGGCUGCGUGAGGUCCCCGAACCGCUCCCGGAUUUGCUUUUGGCACUCCGCAGUGUCGCUCGUGUGCCUGGGGCAGCCUGCAGGCGCCAUCCUGUCAGCCGCGUUGAGCCCUGCGGUGUGCCUGGUGACCCCUCUGGUGUGCGCCAAGGCCCUUCCUCUGUAUUUUGGUCUGCCCCAGAGCCCUGCACUUGCCCUCUGAUGCCCUCAGGACCCCUCAGUUCACAUUCUGGGUUGCCCCCGAGCCCUCUGCGCGCCUUUCGGUGCGCCCCGUGGCCCCGUGUGUGUUUUGCGGCACGCCGCAGAGGUCUCUGUUUAGCUUUUUCUCCU